CCCAGGUCUUUAUGGUGCAGCCAACUACAGCAGAUCAAGAAUAAUUCACUCACAGGGCAAAAACACCUAACCUAGAAACCCCAUGACGCAAACCCUUCCACCACCACCACCAGCUUCCCCCAACACACGCACACAAUUUCCUAAAGAUUUCACCACACCGCACUGUUUGCAUGAAAUCGAGCUUUUUUUUCUCUCUAUGUAAUUUUUAUUAUCUCUUUAAAACGAUUAUAAUACAGUCUACCUCCUCUGUUAUACCCACUUCAGCAUACGGAUUUUUCCUAAUUUCUUGUAAUCUUUGAUACGCAUUUACAUUUUUCCAGAACCCUAUUUGCGUUUUUGGUGAAGUAACGUAUUUUGUGAAUGGUUUUCUGGGAUUUUAGAUUAGCAUUCGAUUGAUUUUAUUGGUGUAGGUGGUUCAAUGUAUUUACAUGAACUACUUUUUCUGACUGUUAAUGCUUUUUAGUUGGCGUCAUUUUGUUAAAUGGCUCUCGAAAAUUUUGCUGAAAUGUUGAUUUUGGUUGGUGGAUAUGUUUGAAAUAUUGAGGGUAGUAUUGGAUCAUGCUCUUUCUGCGCCUGGUUCGCAGAUUUGGUACAGUGCCCCAUAUUUCUGUUGCAGCUGCUGAUGUGCCGUCUAUUAACAAUGUUGGUCCUGCUAGGAAUAUUGGGGAGUCAAAUAAUAUGCAAAAACCUAUCAAAAUAGAUGAACCCGCACUUGUUAAGUUGAAAAAUGAAAGGGACCCUGAAAAGUUGUUUAAUUUGUUUAAGGCCAAUGCCCACAAUAAGGUUCUUGUUGAAAAUCGAUUUGCAUUCGAGGAUACAAUUUCUAGGUUAGCUGGUGCUGGUCGGUUUGAUUACAUUGAGAAUUUGCUUGACCAUCAGAAAACUUUGCCGCAGGGCCGGCGAGAAGGAUUCAUAAUUCGAAUUAUAGUGUUGUAUGGGAGGGCUGGAAUGUUUAAACACGCUGUUAAUACAUUUUAUGAUAUGCAUCUGUAUGAUUGUAAGAGGACAGUUAAGUCGUUUAAUGCUACGUUAAAGGUGUUGACUCAAUCCCGUGAUUUGGAGGCGAUUGAAUCUUUUCUAAGAGAUGUGCCGUUCAACUUUGGCAUCGAGCUAGAUGUGUUUUCUAUUAAUAUUGUUAUCAAAGCAUUUUGUGAAAUGGGUUUAUUGGAUAAAGCUUAUUUGGUCAUGGUUGAGAUGGAAAAGAUGGGAAUAAGUCCGGAUGUGAUUACAUACACAACACUAAUAGCGGCCUUUUACAAGGCAAACCGAUGGGAGAUUGCCAAUGGAUUAUGGAACCUUAUGAUACUAAAGGGUUGUCUUCCUAACGUGGCAACCUUCAAUGCCAGAAUUCAAUUCUUAGUGAAUAAAGGGCGAGCUUGGGAUGCUAACAAGUUAUUGGGUUUGAUGCAUUGCUAUGGGAUACGUCCAGAUGAGAUAACAUAUAAUUUGGUGAUUAAAGGCUUUAGCUGUGCUGGAUACCUUGAAAUGGUAACGAGAGUUUUUAAUGCUUUUUGCCAUGAAGGAUACAAGCCCAAUCAAAAAAUUUAUCAGACCUUGAUCCACUAUCUUUGUCGAGCAGGUAAUUUUGAUUUGGCAUACACUUUUUGUAAAGACAGUAUGCAAAAGAAUUGGUAUCCUAGUGUGGAUAGCAUCUGUAAGCUGCUUGAAGGUCUGAGGAAGGACAAAAAACUUGACAAACUUGAAAAGGCCAAAUAUAUUUUUCUCCUGGCUCAGAAAAGGGUACCUCCUUUUUCUAGUGAUCAAAUAAGUGCCAUGAAAACUACAUUGUCGAGGAGUUGAAAUAGACAUUGGAUGGUGAACUGUUGCAUGAAACGAUAUGGAGGCUAAGCAGCAGGUAACUUUCCAUAUAAAUCAUCUAUCAUUGAAUGAAGUUGAUGGGAUAUGCUCUUCUGAGAGAUGACAUUUAGGUGAAGACAUCGAAUUUUCUUCAAUUAAGUUGGGGUACUGCCUUAAUCAGAUGCAUGGUGAAAUGGAAGUGCUAAGAUGAGGAACAACCUAAGUUUUUGUAAGUUACUUAAGGAUAUAAUUAUUUCUCCUCUUUUUCGUAGUGUCAUUGUUGAUGUACAUAGAUCUUUGUGUGCAAGUUUAUGUCCGUCAAUCAAUGUUCUCUUUGCUUUGCAUCUUCAUUCCUACCUGUACACUUUGUAGUACUAAUGCUUCAUUUAGUGCAGUCACAAACAUCAAAUCUUUUAGUGCAGUCACCAACAUCAAAUCUUUGUAAACUAUAAACCAUUUUUGAGACUUGUGCAUGUUAUUUUCCUUGUAAUCAGAUUUGUGAUGAAUGGAAUAUCUGUGAAGCAGCAAAAGUACUCUUAUUGCGGCCCCGUAGAUGGCAUUUUGAAAACUUCGGCCCACUAAUGGUUAGUUUUGCUAUCCCUUGGCUAUACAUGCCUAUUUACUUGUGGUUAUCAAACAACUAUUAGUACUUCAGUCAUAUUUGAUACAUGUAGACUAAGCUAUACAUAGGAAAUACAUGGAGUGGAUUUUGAGAGUGACAUCAGGGUACUUAGAGAUGGCUAAUAAGUAAUCUUUAUAAUUUAUUGCGUGCGUACAUAUAUGCUCAAAACACAACAUAUAGAGGGUGUUUAGUGGGGAUUAAAAUUAGAUUUUUAGUAGAUUAUGAUACAAGUUUUUGAAAUGUGUGAUUGAAAAGUUGUGGGACCCAUGAAAUAUGGUAAAUGUUGAUUGUUUGACUUUAACUUAGAUUAAAAUCAGAUUUUAAUUCAAACCAAACAGACUGAUACUCUUACACUCACUAAAAAUUGGUUCUGCGGAAUUAGAUAUGAUGACUGACAAAUUAAUUAUUUUAUGUUGGAUCCAAAGAAUUGGAAAAAUCCAAUACUCCCAAUUUCCUUAAUGUCUGGAAAAUAAUUUAUAUCUUUGUACCAAAUCAAUUCACUGAUCUCCCUUGUGGGAUAGGUUCAAAUUCUCACUUAGAAUUAUCAUUAUAAGGUGGCAAAGAGUGUGCACCUUUCUCAUGAAAAAUAAGAAUAAUAAAAAUUCAAGCGACAUUACACCUGUGGAUGCAAAGGAGGAGGGAUCCCCCCCCCCCCCCCCCCCGGGGACAUUCUCACAGGUACCUUGAUGCAUAGAGCAUCUUCAAUGCAUCCUCCCUAGCGAACACAGGCAUUUGUCCAUUUGUUUGCCACUAAGAGAUCAUUCAAACUUGCCCUAGUUUGGUUUAGACUUAAUUCAGAUUUAAGACUAAAAUGCUCACUACCUAGUGCCCUAGCCCACUCAUUAUAAAGGUUGAAGAAACAAUACUAACUGAUGAUAACUAGAAAUGGAGUUAGUAAAAUGAGAUACUAUUUUGUAAUUCCCAGAGUUAUGUUAGUUGUUUCUUUGUCCCAAAUUGGAUGUCUUUAUAUCCUCGUCAUAGUAUCCAAAUAAAAUUUGUACUUGUUUGAAAAAAGCUUUACUACCUAUCUACAUAUAUAAUUUCCAUUUGUGGUUAACUGAUUUAUAUAUACCUAAAUAAUAGGCAUAUGGUUCCUCAUUGCAUCUCAUGUCACAUUCUCUUGGUCAAAAAUAUAAAAGCAUAAAAUGUUUACAUGUUUUCAACCUUACAUAUAAUACCUUGCCAAAAUCAAAUUAAGACAUUUAGUUUACAAGAAAAAGAAUUCUCUUACAUGGUGCCUUUGGAAUGAGUAUAAUUUGAAGAUUGUGAGAGAUUAAAAAUUUGUUAUAUAUGAAUUAAUAUAUGAUUUGAACCUGUUGAAAGUGGUAAACAUUUGCAUGCUUCUUAUUUUAAUGAAAAUCAACGGGGAAAAUGGUUGAACUAUGUUUUUGUACGUCUUUUUGACACGAGAGCUGAAUUUAAAGUCAGCAUUUUUGGUACUCUUAUGUUGCAUUUGUACGUUUGUGGAAGCUAUAAUCUACUCUUUACAUGUCAGUAUGUCCAUAUUGUCAUCAACCUGUGGUGGAACGUGGUUCAAAGUCACCAUAUUUCCAUUUCAGUAAUAUGGAAAAUAUGCUCCGUUAAUUUUGAAGCUAUAAGAUUUUCAACAGUGGGAUUUGGGUAAAACAUUUUUAGAUCGGCUGCUGGAGGGAUACACGAUAGCAGGUUUUCGAUGAUGAACCGAAUUAUAUUGAAAGUUUCUUUGGGAUGGGACUUCCAUACUAUCUGAAAAUGUACAUAUUAUAUCGAAAAUAGGUUAGUAAAAUUCAAGAAGAAUAAACAAAAGUACUAUCUCCAUUUCUAUUAAAAUGAUAUGCUGCAACAACUUUAAAUAGAAAUUUUCUUUGAUUAUCUGUCAAGCUAAUAUAUUUUUCCAUUUCUCAUGCAGGGCAUAGAUUCUUAUAUUUUUCCUUUUUAUGACUUACUAAAAGGUCGAAGGGCAUCGAGCAUAUAUCGGUCAUAUCAUUGGUGGCUAGAGAUAAUGACGUGAGAUCGGUGUUUUGUAUGGUUUAUAUAGCGGGUGAUUAUGGAGCAACGAGAGAAUUCCAGAUGUGUAGAAAUAUUUUAGGGAUCUAAAUCUGAAAGUUGGUAAUUUAUCAAGUGCUAGAAAUGUUAUUUUCUUUGUAUUUUUUUCUUAGAAGGCUCGAUAACCAGUAUUGUUCUGAUUGCAUGCCUAUCAUAGUUGAGAAGAUUUGACGCCUGAAUGAGAAUUCUUGAAGUGUAAAAUGCAAUAAAAAUGAAAAAAUUAGAUUAUAUUCAUGCAAAAGAAAUGAAUGUAAUUGUUUCAGG
RNAcentral lists this long non-coding RNA (4708 nucleotides) under Olea europaea subsp. europaea. The record is from RNAcentral. Lineage: Eukaryota; Viridiplantae; Streptophyta; Magnoliopsida; Lamiales; Oleaceae.